This 497-nucleotide ribosomal RNA is filed under the name uncultured bacterium. RNAcentral describes it as "partial 16S ribosomal RNA". It matches the Rfam family "Bacterial small subunit ribosomal RNA", at positions 28 to 506 of the family's 1533-position model. The record is from RNAcentral.
GAUGAACGCUGGCGGCGUGCCUAAUACAUGCAAGUCGAGCGAACAGAUGAGGAGCUUGCUCCUCUGACGUUAGCGGCGGACGGGUGAGUAACACGUGGAUAACCUACCUAUAAGACUGGGAUAACUUCGGGAAACCGGAGCUAAUACCGGAUAAUAUAUUGAACCGCAUGGUUCAAUAGUGAAAGACGGUUUUGCUGUCACUUAUAGAUGGAUCCGCGCCGCAUUAGCUAGUUGGUAAGGUAACGGCUUACCAAGGCAACGAUGCGUAGCCGACCUUGGAGGGGGGACCGCCAACACGGGAACGAGAACACGUCCCAGACUCCAACGGGAGGCAGCGGUGGGAAACUUCCGGCAAGGGCGGAAAGCCUAACGAGGCAACGCGCGUGGAGUAAGAAAGUUUUCCGAAUCGUAAACCUCUGUUAUAAGGAAAAAAAAAUGGUGAAAGUAACAAGGCACGUUUGAACGGAACCUAAUCAAAAAGCAACGGCUAACUAGGU